RNAcentral lists this ribosomal RNA (204 nucleotides) under Triticum aestivum (bread wheat). RNAcentral's name for it is "partial small subunit ribosomal RNA". Lineage: Eukaryota; Viridiplantae; Streptophyta; Magnoliopsida; Poales; Poaceae. The record is from RNAcentral.
AUGGCAAAGGAAAAUUAUUCUGGUAGGCUUUUCUUUGAAAUCUUCACCAUAACUGCCAGGAAUAUUUGGAAGGAGACAAAUAACUUCAUUUUCAACAAGAUCAGUCCUUCGUAUAGAGCUUGGCUAGAGAGAUCUAAGGCUGUCUUACCUGGCUUAAAUACAGAGUGUCCCCUGAUCUUAGUGAUUACAUCACUUCUUUUGUAA